CUCGUGGUUGGUUCAACGUUUCAGUGAUGAACCGUGACUUUUACCGAAUUAGUGGCUUUAUCGACUUCCAAUGCAAGUAAUGUUGUUGUAAACCUAACGAGACACCGUGAUAGGAGCAUACAACUCAUGCCGUUCUAUUCUCUUUUCACACAUUUUCGACAUCACUCACACACUUAAUUUCUUGUACCAGAAAUCAAAAUUGCAUGAGUAUGCUUCAGACCCAAGCAGUGGUCCAAUCUAUGUAUGUGGUAAAGACUCCAUUAAUUAAAUAAUAAAUUGAAUAUGUUUCAUUACAGAGACUCAGAGAGAUUAUCGAACAGCGACGAUGGACAGGAAGACAUUAUUUUCUUUGUGGGCUCAACUGACCCCUGCUUCCAUCAUGAUGGCGGACAGGGAGUACUACACCGAGGUGACCAGGCUCGUCCCCGCCCCCCCUACUGAGGCCAAGCCCCCGGGCCUUAACCCCCGCUACCCUCGUGGGGCUAGGCUGCCCUGGUUGGCUGCCCCAGCUGGUGGCAGCAACGAGAGGGUCGUCCUCCGCCCCCCGACUGAGGCCAAGCCCCCGGGCCUUAACCCCCGCUACCCUCGUGGGGCUAGGCUGCCCCGGUUGGCUGUGGCUGAGGUGGCUGACGGCCAGGAAGCCUGGAUCCAGGCGGCCCACUCCGACACCGUGUCCCCCCGUGCACGGGCUCUGGGUGCCGCCUCGAGCCAGGAGACUUCCCCGGGCCGAACCCCCCCAGCAGUGGCUGACCCUGACCACCAUCGUGGGUCUAGGCUGCCCCGGUUGGCUGCCCCAGCCGCUGGCGCCAGCGACAGGAUCGUCCUCCGCCCCCCUACUGAGGCCAAGCCCCCGGGCCUUAACCCCCGCUACCCUCGUGGGUCUAGGCUGCCCCGGUUGGCUGCCCCAGCUGGUGGCGCCAACGAGAGGAUCGUCCUCCGCCCCCCUACUGAGGCCAAGCCCCCGGGCCUUAACCCCCGCUACCCUCGUGGGGCUAGGCUGCCCCGGUUGGCUGUGGCUGAGGAGGCUGAUGGCCAGGAAGCCUGGAUCACGGCGGCCCACUCCGACACCGUGUCCCCCCGUGCACGGGCUCUGGGUGCCGCCUCGAGCCAGGAGACUUCCCCGGGCCAAACCCCCCCAGAAGUGGCUGACCCUGACCACCCUCGUGGGGCUAGGCUGCCCCGGUUGGCUGCCCCAGCCGCUGGCGCCAACGAGAGGAUCGUCCUCCGCCCCCCUACUGAGGCCAAGCCCCCACAUAGACCCCCAGUGUCCUUCACAGUGGAUCUGCGGGACGCCCCGCUGAGCUCCGCCCCCUCGUCCCGGAACGCCGCUGCCUCUGCCCGCCGCCGGGCACUCGGAGGCGCCGAGGCGGACCUCUCUGGGACGGAGCGCUCCCAGACUGCCAACGGCCAGAGGUCCCAGGCCCCAGGCAGGAUCGUCCUCCGCCCCCCUACUGAGGCCAAGCCCCCGGGCCUUAACCCCCGCUACCCUCGUGGGUCUAGGCUGCCCCGGUUGGCUGUGGCUGAGGAGGCUGACGGCCAGGAAGCCUGGAUCCAGGCGGCCCACUCCGACAGCGUGUCCCUCUGUGCACGGGCUCUGGGUGCCGCCUCGAGCCAGGAGACUUCCCCGGGCCAAACCCCCCCAGAAGUGGCUGACCCUGACCACCCUCGUGGGACUAGGCUGCCCCGGUUGGCUGCCCCAGCCGCUGGCGCCAACGAGAGGAUCGUCCUCCGCCCUACUGAGGCCAAGCCCCCACAUAGACCCCCAGUGUCCUUCACAGUGGAUCUGCGGGACGCCCAGCUGAGCUCCGCCCCCUCUUCCCGGAACGCCACUGCCUCCGCCCGCCGCCGGGCGCUCGGAGGCGCCGAGGCGGACCUCCCUGGGAGGGAGUGCUCCCAGUCCGCCAACGGCCAGAGGUCCCAGGCCCCAGGCAGCCCGCCGGCCUCUGAGGUUCCUGAAGGCGUGGCGGGCAGAGGUAAGUGCGCGUUCAGCCCGUUUCCCCCUGUGCAGGAGCGUCUGAGGAACGGCAGGAUCCCCCGGGAGAAGCUCCGGGGCCCGUCCCCCCACCAGGCAGGGGAAGAGGCCGGGCCCUCUGGGAAGCGGCAGAAGAACGGGGGCCGCUGUUUCCCCAACCAGAGGCUGACCGCUGAGCCCGAGCUGGAGGAGAAGCUGUUGGAUAGCAGAGAUGAGCCGUCCCAGGGCUCCCUCAGCGGCCCCCAGCGAGACCCACCAGAGCCCCCCGGGCCCCACCCCUUCCCCAAACCUGAGCUGGCCAUGACACAGAGCCUCACUCUCAUCAGCUCAGAGAACUGGUGA
Gadus morhua (Atlantic cod) is the source of this 2314-nucleotide long non-coding RNA. NCBI's taxonomy places the organism in Eukaryota, Metazoa, Chordata, Actinopteri, Gadiformes, Gadidae. The record is from Ensembl.